GACGAACGCUGGCGGCGUGCUUAACACAUGCAAGUCGUACGGUAAGGCCCUUUCGGGGGUACACGAGUGGCGAACGGGUGAGUAACACGUGAGUAACCUGCCCACAACUUUGGGAUAACGCUAGGAAACUGGUGCUAAUACUGGAUAUGUGCUCCUGCUGCAUGGUGGGGGUUGGAAAGCUCCGGCGGUUGUGGAUGGACUCGCGGCCUAUCAGCUUGUUGGUGGGGUAGUGGCCUACCAAGGCGGCGACGGGUAGCCGGCCUGAGAGGGUGACCGGCCACAGUGGGACUGAGAUACGGCCCAGACUCCGACGGGAGGCAGCAGGGGGGAAUAUUGCACAAUGGGCGCAAGCCUGAUGCAGCAACGCCGCGUGCGGGAUGACGGCCUUCGGGUUGUAAACCGCUUUCAGCAGGGACGAAGCUUUUUGUGACGGUACCUGCAGAAGAAGCACCGGCUAACUACGUG
This 465-nucleotide ribosomal RNA is filed under the name uncultured bacterium. RNAcentral's name for it is "partial 16S ribosomal RNA". It matches the Rfam family "Bacterial small subunit ribosomal RNA", at positions 28 to 507 of the family's 1533-position model. The record is from RNAcentral.